This 491-nucleotide ribosomal RNA is filed under the name uncultured bacterium. RNAcentral's name for it is "partial 16S ribosomal RNA". It matches the Rfam family "Bacterial small subunit ribosomal RNA", at positions 29 to 507 of the family's 1533-position model. The record is from RNAcentral.
GUGAACGCUGGCGGUAGGCCUAACACAUGCAAGUCGAACGGCAGCACAGUAAGAGCUUGCUCUUACGGGUGGCGAGUGGCGGACGGGUGAGGAAUACAUCGGAAUCUACUUUUUCGUGGGGGAUAACGUAGGGAAACUUACGCUAAUACCGCAUACAACCUACGGGUGAAAGCAGGGGAUCUUCGGACCUUGCGCGAUUGAAUGAGCCGAUGUCGGAUUAGCUAGUUGGCGGGGUAAAGGCCCACCAAGGCGACGAUCCGUAGCUGGUCUGAGAGGAUGAUCAGCCACACUGGAACUGAGACACGGUCCAGACUCCUACGGGAGGCAGCAGUGGGGAAUAUUGGACAAUGGGCGCAAGCCUGAUCCAGCCAUACCGCGUGGGUGAAGAAGGCCUUCGGGUUGUAAAGCCCCUUUGUUGGGAAAGAAAAGCAGCAGGUUAAUACCCCGCUGUUCUGACGGUACCCAAAGAAUAAGCACCGGCUAACUUCGUG